AGGUUGGUACUUUAACUAGAAGAUUUGGUUUGCAACUAAAAAGAAGAGAGAUAAGUCUCUGCAAUCUA
This 68-nucleotide transfer RNA is filed under the name Lissachatina fulica (giant African snail). Its description in RNAcentral is "tRNA-Ala". The record is from RNAcentral. Lineage: Eukaryota; Metazoa; Mollusca; Gastropoda; Stylommatophora; Achatinidae.